GACCCCCUUUUUUAAACCAUGUUCGACUUUUAAUGAUAAACUGUAACCCGGGAAGAAUUCUAUAUUGAGCACCUAUGCAGGGAGAUGUAAGAAAUAUUCGUAGUAACUUAAAUAUGCAUGCCCCGUCAACGUUUCCGUUGAAGGCUGACGCCCAAAAGAUUUUGGCUGUGGAUUAUUUGAGCUUCGACACGGAGUAUUUCUAACAUUUGCAAGGAUUGAUGUUUCAUGCCUCUGAGAAAGUAAAGGACGUUCAGUAGAAUCGAUUUAAAAAAUAAAAAUGAAAAUAAAACUGAAAAUGAAAUAAAAAUGAAAAUGAAAUAAAAAAGUAAGGUAAAGUAAAGAACAUGAAGAAAAGAAAGGGGGGAGGGGGCAGAACUCCAGCUCCCACAUCAUAUUAAGCCUUGAACUCAUUCAUCCAUGUAACAGAAAGAGAAGAUAACAUUGAUAGAUGGAGUAAGUUGUGGUUUCUCUUUUCAUCAUCACCAUUUCAUACUUUCUCAUUCUUCGAUAUACACAUAUGCAUAUUCAUGAUUACAUGCACACUAUUCACAGCCACACUGUGCUUUGAAUCUCAAAGGAGGAAAGGGAAUAUAAGAACAGAUAAUGGCAAGAAUGGAAGAAGAAAACAAAGUUAAAACAGCACAUGAAGCAAUUUAAAAAAGAAAAAAAAAAGGAGAAGAAAAGCGAAAAAGAAGAAUCACAGUGUCGAAAGUCAACUCGGUGG
RNAcentral lists this small RNA (724 nucleotides) under Histoplasma capsulatum. Its description in RNAcentral is "hypothetical RNA". The record is from RNAcentral. RNAcentral also lists the same sequence under 1 other name. Lineage: Eukaryota; Fungi; Ascomycota; Eurotiomycetes; Onygenales; Ajellomycetaceae.